Molecule: long non-coding RNA, 948 nt
Filed under: Homo sapiens (human)
Lineage: Eukaryota; Metazoa; Chordata; Mammalia; Primates; Hominidae
Description: HSALNT0300879
Source: RNAcentral
AAGAUCUUUGAGGGGAUAAUUUGCCAUCUUAGUAUUUAGAAGAACUGUGUUUGUGUCUAUAUGAGGGAGAUCAGAUUAUAAUAGAAGGAUUUGGUAAAAUGAAGAGAAAGUUUUGAAUGGGCUAAACAGGAAUUCAAGGACUUCUUAUAAUACAUUCCAGAGCUCAGCAACUCUUUUUUUAUAUUGCCUGCUGUUUGGGAUUAUAUUCAUCAUUGCUGCCUUCAGUUACAGAAAGUCAUCCUAAACAUCCAGAGGAAGUGUAUGCUUUCUGGCUGAAAGGUUGACACACCUGAGCUAAUUCAUACGCAAGUUUAAUUUGUUCUAUAAAUGGCUUCUUGUGUGUGAGACAAUGAACUUGAAUACAUCUUGGGGGUAGGAGUUCUGCAACCUCUCUUCCACCUUUCUACUUGUCUACGAGGUCUUUCAUCAGGCCUGUUUGUAAGAGGACUUCUUAAGAUCUGUUGUCUGCCUUUUGCAUAUGAUGCCCCUUCUGUUUCUCAUCAAUUAUUACAAUUCAUCAUCAUCAUCUCUUUCUACAAUGUAUUUGCAAACUUUUUUCCAACAAUUUUCAUGUUUAAGGUGAGUAGCUCUGCCCAUUUCUUUUUUGCUUUGUGCUGAUAUAAUGUGGGUAAACUCUCUUCCACUCCCUUUCAAUUUUGACUGGGAAUUGCUUGUCUUUUCCUUUGAAGGUGUAGUUCAGAUGGAAUUUUUCUGUAUCCUAGAGACCAGAAGAGAGGAAAAGAGUCAUCAGUUUGAGAAAAACCUCAGCCAGGGUUUUGUGCAGCCGUGGUUUGCAGCGUGUCCUGUCUUCUCAUCUCAGAUUUUGUUAAACUCUCUUUUCUGCCAAAUCCCACAGAUGAUUUAGUAGAGGAGUAUCACCACAGAAAUGCUUUAUCCAUUAAGUUUUCCAAUGCUUCUUGUAAAGGGUUGAGGCAUAAAAUUGUUAUU